UCGCUCCUACCGAUUGAAUGAUCCGGUGAAAUCGGUGGACCAUGGUACUUCCUGAGCAAUCAGGUUGUAUUGUUGGAAAAUUGAUUAAACCUUAUCAUUUAGAGGAAGGAG
Molecule: ribosomal RNA, 111 nt
Filed under: uncultured eukaryote
Lineage: Eukaryota
Description: partial small subunit ribosomal RNA
Rfam family: Eukaryotic small subunit ribosomal RNA
Source: RNAcentral